UACCAUGUGGUCGGCUGGACCGACUGGAACCUUGCCCUGAACCCCGAAGGAGGACCCAAUUGGGUGCGUAACUUUGUUGACAGUCCCAUCAUUGUAGACAUCACCAAGGACACGUUUUACAAACAGCCCAUGUUCUACCACCUUGGCCACUUCAGGUGAGUGGAGGGCGGGCACCCCCAUUCCAUACCAGGGGCUGGAGGCCCCUAGAAAAAGAUCAGUAAGCCCCAGUGUCCCCCCAGCCCCCAUGCUUAUGUGAACAUGCGCUGUGUGCUGCUUGCUUUGGAAACUGGGCCUGGGUCCAGGCCUAGGGUGAGCUCACUGUCUGUACAAACACAAGAUCAGGGCUGAGGGUAAGGAAAAGAAGAGACUAGGAAAGCUGGGCCCAAAACUGGAGACUGUUUGUCUUUCCUGGAGAUGCAGAACUGGGCCCGUGGAGCAGCAGUGUCAGCAUCAGGGCGGAAGCCUUAAAGCAGCAGCGGGUGUGCCCAGGCACCCAGAUGAUUCCUAUGGCACCAGCCAGGAAAAAUGGCAGCUCUUAAAGGAGAAAAUGUUUGAGCCC
RNAcentral lists this small RNA (559 nucleotides) under Pan troglodytes (chimpanzee). RNAcentral's name for it is "processed transcript". The record is from RNAcentral. Lineage: Eukaryota; Metazoa; Chordata; Mammalia; Primates; Hominidae.